RNAcentral lists this ribosomal RNA (261 nucleotides) under uncultured bacterium. RNAcentral's name for it is "partial 16S ribosomal RNA". It matches the Rfam family "Bacterial small subunit ribosomal RNA", at positions 524 to 777 of the family's 1533-position model. The record is from RNAcentral.
UACGUAGGGCGCAAGCGUUGUCCGGAAUUAUUGGGCGUAAAGAGCUCGUAGGCGGUUUGUCGCGUUCUGCUGUGAAAACCUCAGGCUCAACCGUGGGGCUUGCAGUGGGUACGGGCAGACUAGAGUGGCGGUAGGGGUGACUGGAAUUCCUGGUGUAGCGGUGGAAUGCGUAGAGUAUCAGGAGGAACACCGGUGGCGAAGGCGGGUCUCUGGGCCGAUGACUGACGCUGGAGGAGCGAAAGCCGUGGGGAGCGAACAGGA